Molecule: non-coding RNA, 911 nt
Organism: Salmo salar (Atlantic salmon)
Lineage: Eukaryota; Metazoa; Chordata; Actinopteri; Salmoniformes; Salmonidae
Source: RefSeq, a predicted model, not a curated record
GAAGCGCAGUGCAUUGUGGGAUGACGUAUUGUUUUUGAAUAUCUGGUUACCCGCUUAGCACUCCGGUUCAAGACGGUAGUGGCGGGAUAGACGACUGUGUAUUCUCAAUUCUUAGAUGCAUGUUAUCCAAUUGAAAUGUAUAGCUCUAUGCUGCAUUAUGUAGCAUAUUAUUCCACAGAAAAUAAACUGCCCAUAGGAUAUGUUUUGAAUUGAGAUUCAAAUGAAUUUCUGCUAGACAGACUUCCUCUGCUUCCAGAAACUUUGCAUGAUCAGCCCAGAGAAGUCCUGGCAUCCAUGAAAAGAUGGAAACCUGCAGAUGACAUGCAACAGCUUUCAGCAACCAUCAAACUCCCUACCACCACCAGCUAGCUAUACACCAGCUAUAAUAACCUCAAGGCCUGUCAAUGGAACUCCUUUCCCCCACCGGGGGAGCAGCCGGUGGGGGAAAUUGCAUUCUCUUUGUUGAUAAUUCAGUUAAACCCGCACUUGAUUGAACUACCAUGUGUAGAUGCAACAGCUACAAAGUGGGCACAAUUAGAAUGUGAAUAAGAUCAGGACAAAGGGUGCAUGUUAGCACCAGGUAUAAACAAGGCUUCUGUCUCUAUCAUUCUCCUGAUCUCCUCCUCUCCCCCUACUCUCUCUCUCACUCUCCCACAGCCAAACCCAAUUCCAUUGCAGGAGGCAGGGAUGGGACCUUUGUUAUUAAACACUGCAAACCUUUAUAGCACAAUAAAAUGUGUAUUUUUGCUAUUUUCCUCCCCCUCUCUCCUCCUCCUUUCUCCUGUGCAAACAGAUGCUCUCUGUAGUGUUGUGGUUUUGACUUUCGAGCGCCUCUCUCAUAAUUCACUUUCUUCCCUUCUUUCUUUCCUAGUCACAUCUCUCUCUCUCUCUUACUCCCCCUCCCCCCUCUC